GGAAAGACAUAAUUAGUUUCUAAUAUAACAUGAAUGGAUCAGUUCGCAACGGAUCAAGUAUUUGUCCCAAUAAUAAAUCGGCAUUGCUUCUAGGUAAAAUAUCGAACACAUGGUGUCCUGUGCUGGCACAACAAUAGAGCUAUCUGAGGAACAGAUGCCUUUGUCAGUAGCAGAUCGAAUGAGAGGAACCCAGCAGGCAGCCUGAGAAGAAGACAAGCAGAAAUUGCCCCGGGCUCUAACCGUCUAUGGUCGACCGCAAAAUCCAUGUCGUGACCGCAAAAUCCACGGCAGUGGUCUUGUCCUCUGCUUUGUGAAUCUUCAAAUGCAUUAUUUGGAUUGCAGUAGCCACCCAUGAAGAUUAACCCGGGCUCGUUCAGUUGGAUUGCAGUAUUCAAAAAUCAUAUUAGGCACAGGCCAAAGGGACAAAAACAAGUAAUGAAAAAUAAUUGGAGAUGGAACAACGGACAGAACAGUUGAAUCACACGGUAGCACUCGUCGUGGUUGCUGAUAUUAUCGAUUCUGUAUAAUCCUUUUUUAUCUUCUUGAGUGCUACUGUGACAUCCCUCAUGACAUCCUCAGGCCAGGUGAGUCACUUGAGCAGAUCAACCCCAGCUCAAAUGUCGCCGUAAGAAAGUCAUUCAGAUUGCCGGCAAAGAAAGAAACACCUUGCAACAGCCGGUCAUCAAGAACAGAGGCAAGCUGAGCUGGAAAUGCUUGACGAACCCACCACCUAAUGCUCAAAUCUGCGACGAACAUGGGAUCUGUGGGUCUCUUUCCAGUGAAGACUUCAAGGAGCAUGAUUCCAUAACUGAAAACAUCGCUCUUGCGUGAUGCCUUCCCGUAAGAUCCAUACUCUGCUCAUGAGACCGGAAACAAAGAAUUCCAGCAAGACUGAAUCAGCACUGUUAGACAAAUAUAUACCAAACAAAAUUCAGAGUCACAGUACGGAGUAUGGACGUACCUGGUGCCAUGUACCCAAGUGUUCCAAGCAUGCUUGCAGUGAUCAUAGAGCAGUCAUCACCCAAUAGCAACUUUGCGAUUCCAAAGUCCGCUACAUGUGCUGUCAUGUCUUCAUCAAACAGCACGUUGCUAGGCUUCAAGUCACAGUGCAGGACUACCUCGUGAUGCUCAUGGUGCAGAUACUCCAUUGCCAUUGACACAUCUAGCAUGAUGUCCAGCCUCUUGAGGAACCCUAAGUGCUCUAUGCUGUCAGAUUGCAAGAGCAUCUCUAAGCUACCACGGGGCAUAUAUUGAAGCACCAAUGCCUUGAACUCCACAUUGGAGCAGACAUUCAAUAUCUUUAUCAAGUUCCUAUGCCGAGCCAUGCGAAGUGUGCUGCACUCAGCAUCAAAGCUUCUAAUGGCCUGCUCCUGCUGCAUGUCUAGAACUUUUACUGCCACCGUGAAACCGGUACUAAGUUGACCUUUAUAGACCUUUCCAAAGCUCCCAGUCCCCAACAGGUUGUCGUCACUAAAAUUACUGGUGGCAAGGACAAGCUCAUGGUAUGACAGGUGCCCAUGGUACAUAACAUUUCUAGGAUCAAUGACAGAAUCUUCAACCUCUCCCUUAUUUUUAAUUUUCUUUCUAAUGGUUUGGUAGAUGAAAAUAAUAGUACACCCAAAUGCUAUGGUUACAGAAGGGAGCAGGAAUCUUAGAAAGGGCGUCGUAUUUGAGUGAGGUUUUUCCAUACAUGGAGAGAAUCCUAAACGAGGUAUGCCACAAAGCCCAACAUUCCCAACCAAAGAUUGCAACGAGAUGUUAGAGAAAACACCGCCCUCUGGUACCUUGCCUUGUAGAUUAUUAAAGGAGAGAUUUAAAGUUUUCAAGAAGGUUAAAUUGGCUAGGAACAUGGGAAUGGUACCUGAGAAAUUAUUGGAGGAGAGGUCCAACAACUCGAGGCUCCUCAGCUCUUUAAAUGACAGGGGGAUUGAGUCCUCAAAUGAAUUGUGCGAUAGGAUUAGAUAGCUGAGCAUGCUUAGUUUCUCAAAUGAUUUGGGGAUGCUUCCAAGCAAAAAGUUGAAAGAAAGGUCAAUUGUAACCACUUGUUUCAUCCCACCAACGUCACUUGGUAGUUUACCAGAAAAGGAAUUGAUAGAAAGAUCUAGCAAUAUAAUUUUGUCAAGGCGGAACAAACUUGCCGGUAUAGUUGAAUUGAAUUGGUUGUCAGACAACGAGACGUAUUCUAGCAUGGUAAGAUUUCCAAUGCUAUCAGGUAUAGUGCCAUGAAAUCUAUUUCCAUAGAGAUAAAGCAAUUGUAAGUUUCUGAGCAUACCAAUUUGUGCCGGGAUAGUCCCUAGCAUGUCAUUAUGAGAGACAUCAAGCCAAACGAGAUUUUGCAUCCUCGUGAUAGAUUCUGGGAUCUCUCCUGUGAGCUGGUUGUUGGCAAGAUAAAUAAUCUCAAGACUGCUCAAGUUCGACAGUGAGGAUGGAAGCCCACCUGUUAGCUUGUUGUCACCAAGUCUAAACUCAAAUAAUUGUGCAGACAGAUUCCCCACAGUGUCAGGGAUUCGUCCGGUGAAAGAAUUAUAAUCUAGUACAAGGUGUUGGAGUCGCACAGAGCUGGAAAGAGAUGACAGGAAGUUAAGAUUCCCACUCAAAUUAUUAGAUUGCAGCUUAAGCAAGUUCAAAGUUGGUAUGUUCCCAAGUGUUUGUGGUACGGAUCCUGACAAUAUAUUAUAACACAAUGCUAGGAAAGUCAGUUUUGAUAAAUUUCCAAGAGAAGGUGGAAUUGGACCUGUUAGCAAAUUCACUCCGAGAUGCAAAUACGAGAGUUCUUGCAUGAGGCCUAAUUCUUUUUGAAUCUCUCCUGUCAGGUUGUUGAAAGGAAGGUAAAGUAUAUUGAGAUGGGUGAGAUUGCUAAGAACAGCUGGGACAGAGCCAUGUAAGGAAUUAGCACCCAAGUUUAGAUAGGUAAGCAUGGGCAGUGAGCCUAUUCCUUGGGGUAUUGGACCUGAUAGGCUAUUGUUUGAGAGGUUGAUGUGGUUGAGGGAAGGUGUGUUAUUGAACAGAUACAAUGGUAUGUUGCCACUCAACUCAUUCCCUGCUAGAGUAAACCACUGAAGGUUUCUCAUGCUUUGCAGUAACCGUGGUGGAAUCUGCCCCGAGAGGGUGUUGUUACUUAGGCGAAGAAACUCGAGGCUUUUGAGGUUUCCUAUGGUACUAGGAAUGGCGCCUGAGAGGCCAUUUCCACGAAGAUCGAGGAAUCUAAGUCGAUGUAGCCUUCCAAUUUCAGGAGGGAUGAGUCCAGCGACACCAAUUCUUGUGAGGUUGAGCAUGGUGAGGAAGGAAAGAUUACCGAGGUGUUGGCUGAGCGGUCCAUGGAGGGGCACGUCCACCAAACGUAGAGCCGUGACGCGCGGCCGGUGGUGGCUGCACGAGACCCCGACCCAUCGACAGAAGGAUACGUUGGAUGUCCAGCUACCGGCGAGGAUUCCGAGAGGAUCAGAGAGCAGCGAUUUGAAAGCCAACAGGGCAGCGAGGUCAGUGUAGCUGCCGUUAACAUUGGUGACGCUUGGGCUUGGAGAUGAAGAAACGACAGCAGGCAAUAGGAUUGGUACCAAGAUGGCCAAAAACACUAGAGGGACCGGGUAGCUUGCAAUGGCCAUUGUUGUGUAUUUUUGGGCUGAUAGGUCAUAGGUGGCAAUGUUAUAUACUUAUAUGUAUUUUUGGGUCAUAGGUCAUAGGUCACAUGUCAAAGUCUUGACUCGUGUUUCGUCUUGACUCGUGUUUCCUUUAUUUAUUUGUCACACGGUAUAUUUCUAUGGUGGCAAAAAAAACAGUGUCACUAUUAUCUUGACUCGUGAAGUCAGCAAAGAUCUUUUAUAUUACUAUAAAGUAAUAAACAUUUAGAGAUAUUUUGCUAAAUGUGAAUCCACGAUCUCGCUAUCUAGCGAUCGACAUUUCAUGAAUAUUGCUGCCUUUUAUAUUUACACACAUACAAUUCACUGAACGGAGAGUGUGUGCUGUCUCAUUGGAUGUUGCCAGCUUGUGCGAAGACUAGAAUGUUGGCGGUCGUUGCACGGCAAAUUCCUGUCAGGUCAUUACGGGUUAGACAAGACGUGAAGACGAUGAUGGGUUGAAUAUUCUCUAGUACCUUUGCGGCCAUAGCCUCGUAUAGGCUACCGUCGAAUGCUACUUCCUGAUCAAUAACUCUACAGACGUAAAGACUGAUGUGGAUUAGUGUUGGUUCAUUUAUAUGGUAAUUUUUUUUCGUUUUGAAAUUUUCUCUUCAGGGUAGGAUAUAUCGAUCUCUCAGUGCAAAAUUGAAGGAUAUAUAUGCAUGUCUCGUAGGUGACACAGGUUAUGAACCACGACUAACAGGGUAUUUCCAAAGGACAGAAGCAGAGGAGCCCAUCCUGAUCAAUGUACAAAUUAAAUUAGUGACCAUGCUUCAUUACACUACACUCAUGGAAAAAAGAACGCAUUUAUUCUAUUAUGAAAAGUUAACGAAACACUGUAAUUAUAAGCUUGGAUAUGCGUUGUUAAACUGAAAACAAAGUAUUUUAUUAGCUAAAAAAAUCAAUAAACUGGAUUAUUACAAAGUAACAUGCACUAGCAGUAGAUGAUGUUCCCAUUUUUCAGAUAGUCUUUUGCAUUUGUCUCUGAAGCGGUCAAUUCUAAUGAAGUUGCCAUAUUUUCUUUGUGGCCCCUUUAUCCACCAAAUAACUGCUAGGAAGUUGAGAUCCACAUGGAGGAAAUUUAGUCAUUUACAAGAUGCAACAAGUAGUUCAUACUAUACCCGCUGCUGCUGGUAAGUAUCCAGCCAACAGCUUCGUAUCCAUCGUUAAUUCAAUAGCCACCAUUCACCACGAAAACAUCAUUUCAACAGAUUAUGAUAUACACUAUGAUUUCGCAAAGAAAUAAAUUUGCGCAGCUGUGAAAGAAACAUGGGGACAUUCAUACCCUGUGUUAUGUGCAUACUAAUGAAUACAGUUGAUCGUAAACAAAUUGCUGGAUGCUAACUGCACCAUCAUGGCUACACAAUUACAAAUUCGAAAGUUAUUUCAGUUAGUGAGGCGGAAAUCACAAACUAUUUUUCAUUCGUUGGAUGCUAACUGCACCAUCAUGCAGAGUUUGGAGAGCAGAGUGGAAAGACAUAAUUAGUUUCUAAUAUAACAUGAAUGGAUCAGUUCGCAACGGAUCAAGUAUUUGUCCCAAUAAUAAAUCGGCAUUCCUUCUAGGUAAAAUAUCGAACACAUGGUGUCCUGUGCUGGCACAACAAUAGAGCUAUCUGAGCAACAGAUGCCUUUGUCAGUAGCAGAUCGAAUGAGAGGAACCCAGCAGGCAGCCUGAGAAGAAGACGAGCAGAAAUUGCCCCGGGCUCUAACCGUCUAUGGUCGACCGCAAAAUCCAUGUCGUGACCGCAAAAUCCACGGCAGUGGUCUUGUCCUCUGCUUUGUGAAUCUUCAAAUGCAUUAUUUGGAUUGCAGUAGCCACCCAUGAAGAUUAACCCGGGCUCGUUCAGUUGGAUUGCAGUAUUUCAAAAAUCAUAUUAGGCACAGGCCAAAGGGACAAAACAAGUAAUGAAAAAUAAUUGGAGAUGGAACAACCGACAUAACAGUUGAAUCACAGGGUAGCACUCGUCGUGGUUGCUGAUAUUAUCGAUUCUGUAUAAUCCUUUUUUAUCUUCUUGAGUGCUACUGUGACAUCCCUCAUUGACAUCCUCUGGUCAGGUGAGUCACUUGAGCAGAUCAAACCCAGCUCAAAUGUCGCUGUAAGAAAGUCAUUCAGAUUGCCGGCUGAGGAAGAAACACCUUGCAACAGCCGGUCAUCAAGAACAGAGGCAAGCUGAGCUGGAAAUGCUUGACGAACCCACCACCUAAUGCUCAAAUCGGUGACGAACAUGGGAUCUGUGGGUCUCUUUCCAGUGAAGACUUCAAGGAGCAUGAUUCCAUAACUGAAAACAUCGCUCUUGCGUGAUGCCUUCCCGUAAGAUCCA
This 5938-nucleotide long non-coding RNA is filed under the name Setaria italica (foxtail millet). RNAcentral's name for it is "long non-coding RNA (SITA_LNC005593)". The record is from RNAcentral. Lineage: Eukaryota; Viridiplantae; Streptophyta; Magnoliopsida; Poales; Poaceae.